Molecule: ribosomal RNA, 484 nt
Filed under: uncultured bacterium
Lineage: Bacteria
Description: partial 16S ribosomal RNA
Rfam family: Bacterial small subunit ribosomal RNA
Source: RNAcentral
AGUGAACGCUGGCGGCGUGCUUAACACAUGCAAGUCGAACGAGAACGGAUUAUAGCUUGCUAUAAUUGUCAGCUAAGUGGCGCACGGGUGAGUAAUGUAUAGGUAAUAUGCCUCUUACUAAGGGAUAACAAAUGGAAACGUUUGCUAAUACCUUAUACUCCUUAUUAACAUAAGUUAAUAAGGGACAGAUUUAUUGGUAAGAGAUUAGCCUGUAUUGUAUCAGUUAGUUGGUGGGGUAACGGCUUACCAAGACUAUGACACAUAACUGGUUUGAGAGGAUGAUCAGUCACACUGGAACUGAGACACGGUCCAGACUCCUACGGGAGGCAGCAGUGGGGAAUAUUGCACAAUGGACGGAAGUCUGAUGCAGCAACGCCGCGUGGAGGAUGACACAUUUCGGUGCGUAAACUCCUUUUAUAUGAGAAGAUAAUGACGGUAUUAUAUGAAUAAGCACCGGCUAACUCCGUGCCAGCAGCCGCAGUAA